AGAGGUGACGCCUGCCCAGUGAAAACUUUUUAACGGCCGCGGUAUCCUAACCGUGCAAAGGUAGCAUAAUAACUUGUCUCCUAAAUAGAGACUAGCAUGAACGGCUAACUGAGGGCCCAACUGUCUCCUAUGACCAAUCAAUGAACCUGACCUCUCAGUCCAAAGGCUGAAAUACACCCAUAAGACGAGAAGACCCUGUGGAGCUUUAAAAACACUACUUCCAAAACUAAGCAGACUUUUUAAGUUGGGGCGACUACGGAAAAAAACAAAACUUCCACGAACAAGGCUAACCCCCAUACCACCAGGUCAACAAACCAACAAUUAAAUCCUUGACCCAGAUAAAACUGAUCAACGAACCAAGUUACCCCAGGGAUAACAGCGCCAUCCUCUUCUAGAGCCCAUAUCGCCAAGAGGGUUUACGACCUCGAUGUUGGAUCAGGACCCCCAAGUGGUGCAGCCGCUACUAACGGUUCGUUUGUUCAACGAUUAAAGUCCUACGUGAUCUGAGUUC
RNAcentral lists this ribosomal RNA (511 nucleotides) under Coleodactylus septentrionalis. RNAcentral describes it as "partial 16S ribosomal RNA". It matches the Rfam family "Bacterial large subunit ribosomal RNA", at positions 1848 to 2612 of the family's 2925-position model. The record is from RNAcentral. Lineage: Eukaryota; Metazoa; Chordata; Lepidosauria; Squamata; Sphaerodactylidae.